This 463-nucleotide small RNA is filed under the name Arabidopsis thaliana (thale cress). Its description in RNAcentral is "ATSL036650". The record is from RNAcentral. Lineage: Eukaryota; Viridiplantae; Streptophyta; Magnoliopsida; Brassicales; Brassicaceae.
CUAAACAAUAUUUUGUUGGUUGUAGCUUCUUUUGGGAGUAAAUGGGUAUAAGUGUUGUCUAAACACUCCUAAUCCAUCUCUAACUCUUAUAAUUAGUCAAAUGCAUUGGAUUGUGUUACAUUUUGACCAUAGAAACACUAAAAAAUCUAUUGACUGCUUCGAAGCAAGUUUUGUUAGUUUGACACUCUUUUGGGAGAAAAUGGGUAUAAGUGUUGUCUAAACUAUCCUAAUCCAUCUCUAACUCUUAUAAUUAGUCAAUUGCAUUGGAUUGUGACACAUAUUGACCAUAAAAAUACUAACAAAGCUAUUUAGUGCUUCUAAGCAAUGUUUUGUUGGUUUUAUCUUCUUUUAAAAGAUAAUGGAUAUAACUGUUGUCUAAACACUCCUAAUCCAUCUCUAACUCUUAUAUUUACUCAAAUGCAUUAGAUUGUGAUACAUUUUGAUUAUAGAAACACUAGAAAAA